UACGGGAGGCAGCAGUGGGGAAUAUUGCACAAUGGGCGAAAGCCUGAUGCAGCUAUGCCGCGUGUAUGAAGAAGGCCUUAGGGUUGUAAAGUACUUUCAUCGGGGAGGAAAAAACAAAACUAAUAAUUUUAUUUCUUGACGUUACCCGAAAAAGAAGCACCGGCUAACUCCGUGCCAGCAGCCGCGGUAAUACGGAGGGUGCUAGCGUUAAUCAGAAUUACUGGGCGUAAAGAGCACGUAGGUGGUUUUUUUAAGUCAGAUGUGAAAUCCCUGGGCUUAACCUAGGAACUGCAUUUUGAAACUGAAAUACUAGAGUAUCGUAGAGGGAGGUAGAAUUCUAGGUGUAGCGGUGAAAUGCGUAGAUAUCUGGAGGAAAUACCUGUGGCGAAAGCGGCCUCCUAAACGAAUACUGACACUGAGGUGCGAAAGCGUGGGGAGCGAAACAGGGAUUAGGAUACC
This 459-nucleotide ribosomal RNA is filed under the name uncultured bacterium. Its description in RNAcentral is "bacterial SSU rRNA". It matches the Rfam family "Bacterial small subunit ribosomal RNA", at positions 340 to 786 of the family's 1533-position model. The record is from RNAcentral.